Oncorhynchus keta (chum salmon) is the source of this 816-nucleotide long non-coding RNA. RefSeq lists it as uncharacterized. The record is from RefSeq and is a predicted model, not a curated record. NCBI's taxonomy places the organism in Eukaryota, Metazoa, Chordata, Actinopteri, Salmoniformes, Salmonidae. The transcript has 7 exons.
GGCAGAGAGAGAGACAGAUUAGAGAGACAGACAGGUUAGUCCUGGAGGGGGCAGAGAGAGAGACAGAUUAGAGAGACAGACAGGUUAGUCCUGGAGGGGACAGAGAGAGAGACAGAUUAGAGAGACAGACAGGUUAGUCCUGGAGGGGGCAGAGAGAGAGACAGAUUAGAGAGACAGACAGGUUAGUCCUGGAGGGGGCAGAGAGAGAGACAGAUUAGAGAGACAGACAGGUUAGUCCUGGAUGGGGCAGAGAGAGAGACAGGUUAGUCCUGGAGGGGGCAGAGAGAGAGACAGAUUAGAGAGACAGACAGGUUAGUCCUGGAUGGGGCAGAGAGAGAGACAGGUUAGUCCUGGAGGGGGCAGAGAGAGAGACAGAUUAGAGAGACAGACAGGUUAGUCCUGGAGGGGGCAGAGAGAGAGACAGAUUAGAGAGAGAGACAGAUUAGUCCUGGAGGGGGGGCAGAGAGAGAGACAGAUUAGAGAGAGAGACAGAUUAGUCCUGGAGGGGGCAGAGAGAGAGACAGGUUAGUCCAGGAGGGGGCAGAGAGAGAGACCGAUUAGAGAGAGACACAGACAGGUUAGUCCUGGAGGGGGCAGAGAGAGAGACAGAUUAGAGAGACAGACAGGUUAGUCAUGGAGGAGGCAAAGAAAGAGACAGAUUAGAGAGACAGACAGGUUAGUCCUGGAGGGGGGGCAGAGAGAGAGACAGAUUAGAGAGACAGACAGGGCAGAGAGAGAGACAGAUUAGAGAGACAGACAGGUUAGUCCUGGAGGGGGGACAGAGAGAGAGAGACAGGUUAGAGAGACAGACAGGGC